Molecule: ribosomal RNA, 253 nt
Filed under: uncultured prokaryote
Description: partial 16S ribosomal RNA
Rfam family: Bacterial small subunit ribosomal RNA
Source: RNAcentral
ACAGAGGGUGCAAACGUUGCUCGGAAUUACUGGGCGUAAAGCGCGUGUAGGCUGACCGGAAAGUCGGGCGUGAAAGCCCUGGGCUCAACCCAGGAACUGCACUCGAAACUCCCGGUCUAGAGUGGUGGAGAGGGAAGUGGAAUUCCUGGUGUAGAGGUGAAAUUCGUAGAUAUCAGGAGGAACACCAGUGGCGAAGGCGGCUUCCUGGACACCAACUGACGCUGAGACGCGAAAGCGUGGGGAGCAAACAGGA